Molecule: ribosomal RNA, 505 nt
Filed under: uncultured bacterium
Lineage: Bacteria
Description: partial 16S ribosomal RNA
Rfam family: Bacterial small subunit ribosomal RNA
Source: RNAcentral
GACGAACGCUGGCGGCGUGCCUAAUACAUGCAAGUAGAACGCACAGUUUAUACCGUAGCUUGCUACACCAUAGACUGUGAGUUGCGAACGGGUGAGUAACGCGUAGGUAACCUGCCUGGUAGCGGGGGAUAACUAUUGGAAACGAUAGCUAAUACCGCAUAAUAUUAAUUAUUGCAUGAUAAUUGAUUGAAAGAUGCAACUGCAUCACUACCAGAUGGACCUGCGUUGUAUUAGCUAGUAGGUGAGGUAACGGCUCACCUAGGCGACGAUACAUAGCCGACCGGAGAGGGUGAGCGGCCACACUGGGACUGAGACACGGCCCAGACGCCUACGGGAGGCAGCAGUAGGGAAUCUUCGGCAAUGGACGAAAGUCUGACCGAGCAACGCCGCGGGAGUGAAGAAGGUUUUCGGAUCGUAAAGCUCUGUUGUAAGAGAAGAACGGGUGUGAGAGUGGAAAGUUCACACUGUGACGGUAACUGACCAGAAAGGGACGGCUAACUACGUG